GACGAACGCUGGCGGCGUGCUUAACACAUGCAAGUCGAACGGAAAGGCCCUGCUUGCAGGGUACUCGAGUGGCGAACGGGUGAGUAACACGUGGGUGAUCUGCCCUGCACUUCGGGAUAAGCCUGGGAAACUGGGUCUAAUACCGGAUAGGAGCCAUUUUUAGUGUGAUGGUUGGAAAGUUUUUUCGGUGUAGGAUGAGCUCGCGGCCUAUCAGCUUGUUGGUGGGGUAAUGGCCUACCAAGGCGGCGACGGGUAGCCGGCCUGAGAGGGUGGACGGCCACAUUGGGACUGAGAUACGGCCCAGAAUCCUACGGGAGGCAGCAGUGGGGAAUAUUGUACAAUGGGCGCAAGCCUGAUGCAGCGACGCCGCGUGGGGGAGGACGGCCUUCGGGUUGGAAACUCCUUUCGCUAGGGACGAAGCUUUUUGUGACGGUACCUAGAGAAGAAGCACCGGCUAACUACGUG
This 465-nucleotide ribosomal RNA is filed under the name uncultured bacterium. RNAcentral describes it as "partial 16S ribosomal RNA". It matches the Rfam family "Bacterial small subunit ribosomal RNA", at positions 28 to 507 of the family's 1533-position model. The record is from RNAcentral.